ACAGGUAGUGUCCCUAGGGGCUGUAGAACAGGGCUGGGAUUACUAAAGCCUGUUCUAUGCCCUGAGGGACACUGAGCAUGUCA
Molecule: microRNA precursor, 83 nt
Organism: Cebus imitator (Panamanian white-faced capuchin)
Lineage: Eukaryota; Metazoa; Chordata; Mammalia; Primates; Cebidae
Source: Ensembl